GGCCCGGACCCUGUGCGACUUCAGCCUGCGAACCGCGUCAGGGCCGGAAGGCAGCAGCGCUAAGUAGACCCUGAUGUGUGCUUAGGUGCACCGGGUCGCG
RNAcentral lists this signal recognition particle RNA (100 nucleotides) under Acidobacteriota bacterium. Its description in RNAcentral is "Acidobacteria bacterium (drinking water metagenome) signal recognition particle sRNA small type". It matches the Rfam family "Bacterial small signal recognition particle RNA". From Rfam's summary of the family: The signal recognition particle (SRP) is a universally conserved ribonucleoprotein involved in the co-translational targeting of proteins to membranes. Lineage: Bacteria; Pseudomonadati; Acidobacteriota. The record is from RNAcentral.